RNAcentral lists this long non-coding RNA (1703 nucleotides) under Equus caballus (horse). RNAcentral describes it as "lncRNA (ENSECAG00000029515.2)". The record is from RNAcentral. Lineage: Eukaryota; Metazoa; Chordata; Mammalia; Perissodactyla; Equidae.
GUAAGAAACGCUGUGGAAGAUCCAGCUCGUGACUUCAGAUCAUUUUGAAAGCAGAGCUUCCAUCUUUUCGGAGCAUUUUACAUCUUUUGUCUCAUUCGAUCCUCACAACCACUCCCCUCCCCCGUGAUAUGAGGCAAGAUUGCUUUCUCCCCAUUUAACAGAAGCUAGAACCAAGACAUAUGGAUGCUAAGAAUUUGCCUGAGGUCUCCCAGGGGGUUUGUGGAAAGACAAGGUGUAAAACCUGAGUCUCCUGAUUCUAGAUGCCGUGGUUCCACCCAAGGGGCCAUAUUGUAAAGCGUCACCUGGCGUCACACAGUCCAGAAGCUGAGAGGUGAAGACGGUCACCUCUGUAGGAAUCAGAGGAACUCCCCACUCUCGUCGCCAGGCCUGAAGGCGGUGGUGCAUUCAUAGUUGAGAAUGCGCCUGACCCUUUGUAAGACUUACCUCAAGCAUCAGCCCACAAGAAGGCUUCCUGACCCAUGCCUUCCCACAGGGAGCUGAUUACUCUCUUGGAAUCACUUGCUCUGGGAGAGCUGACGCCAUGUCAGGAGGACACUCAAGCAGGCCUGUGGAGAAGGACGUGUGGAGAGGAACGAGGCCUCCUCACAACAGCCAGCAUCACGUUUCCAUCUGGAUGAGUGAGCCGUCCUGGAAACGGAUCCUCCAGCCCCAGUGACGCCUUCCCAUGACCGCAGCCCUGGCCGACAUCUUGACUGCAGCCUCAUGAGAGACCUUGAGCCAGAAAUACCCAGUUAAACGGCUCCUGGAUUCCUGACCCACAGAAACUGUCUGUGACAGGAUCGAGGGACAUGGUGACCGACCCAAUCGAGCUGUGAUGGAAUCAAGAGGAGGACCUGGCGACCCUAGCGGCCAGACCACUCCUGGGCAUUGGUUUGAGGAUCACCCAGCAUCACCCUUCUUAUGUGCCUGACAGCAAAGCCCUGCAACCUGAUAGCCAGGCCUGCUUUCAUAUACACACAGGCCCCUGAGAAUGCGGCCUUUAUAGGAAUCUCCGGGGUUGUGUUGUCUGAACCAUCGAAUGUCCUGUGUGUCCAGUGCUGGGGAAUGCAUGAGUCCACUUCAGCACUCAGCAGAGAAGCGACUGGGCAAAGAGUGUGCCCUUAGGGUCCUUAAAUGGAAUUUUAAAUUUUAACAACUUACCUCCGCUUCAAUGCAGACUGUUACUCUGACAGAACGCAAACUCCGUGUCCCUAAACUUGAGGAAAAAUUCUUCAGCGUUUGCUGCUAGCACGGUACAUUACACAUUGAGGGGGGCCCCUUAAGGAUUUUGAAUUCCUUGUAUUCGUACUUCACUGGGUCAUGGGAACCACCACUUUAGUGUCUGCGCAGAGGACUUCUUCCUCUGGGUUUGUCAAGGUUGUAGGUUUGCUCUGACUUCAGCUGUGGCAACAAAGAGAGGCUCCAAGUGUAGCCUGAGGCAGAAGGAAAAGGCAAGUCAACCUGUCACCUUUUUGAUCCAUAGGUUUCCAUCUAUAUUAUUGCUCGUCCCCUCGGGGCUUGGGCUUAAACCCUCUUCUCUCCAGUCUUCUCACUAACAGAGCUGACAAACCGACUCACCCCCAAACUCGAUGCUUAGUCUCUAGUGACGGGAAGCCAUGUCUCAGUGCCAACAUUAUUUAUGUUAUUGGCAUGCCUGAAUCAGAUAAAUAGCUUCAACAGCUGCAGAGCACAGGGCAGGAAAC